CGGGUGCUAACGUCCGUGUGGAAAGGGAAACAACCCAGACCGUCAGCUAAGGUCCCAAAGUUAUGGUUAAGUGGGAAACGAUGUGGGAAGGCUUAGACAGCUAGGAGGUUGGCUUAGAAGCAGCCAUCUUUUAAAGAAAGCGUAAUAGCUCACUAGUCGAGUCGGCCUGCGCGGAAGAUGUAACGGGGCUCAAACCAUACACCGAAGCUACGGACAUGUUCUUUGAACAUGUGGUAGAGGAGCGUUCUGUAAGCCGUUGAAGGUGAGUUGAGAAGCUUGCUGGAGGUAUCAGAAGUGCGAAUGCUGACAUGAGUAACGAUAAUGAAGUGUGAAAAACACUCAACGCCGAAAAACCAAGGUUUCCUGCGCAACGUUAAUCGACGCAGGGUGAGUCGGUCCCUAAGGCGAGACUGAAAAGUGUAGUCGAUGGAAAACAGGUUAAUAUUCCUGUACUUCUAAUUAUUGCGAUGGAGAGACGGAGAAGGCUAGGCCAUCAGGGCGUUGGUUGUCCCUGUUUAAGGUGGUAGGCAGAGAUCUUAGGUAAAUCCGGGAUCUUGUUAAUGCCGAGAGCUGAUGACGAGCGUUCUUUAGAAUGCGAAGUGGUUGAUGCCAUGCUUCCAAGAAAAUCUUCUAAGCUUCAGAUAAUUAGGAACCGUACCCCAAACCGACACAGGUGUUGGGUAGAGAAUACCAAGGCGCUUGAGAGAACUCGGGUGAAGGAACUAGGCAAAAUGGCACCGUAACUUCGGGAGAAGGUGCGCUGGUGAGGGUGAAGUAUUUACUACGUAAGCCUUUGCUAGUCGAAGAUACCAGGCCGCUGCGACUGUUUAUUAAAAACACAGGACUCUGCAAACACGAAAGUGGACGUAUAGGGUCUGACGCCUGCCCGGUGCCGGAAGGUUAAUUGAUGGGGUUAGCGCAAGCGAAGCUCUUGAUCGAAGCCCCGGUAAACGGCGGCCGUAACUAUAACGGUCCUAAGGUAGCGAAAUUCCUUGUCGGGUAAGUUCCGACCUGCACGAAUGGCGUAACGAUGGCGGCGCUGUCUCCACCCGAGACUCAGUGAAAUUGAAAUCGCUGUGAAGAUGCAGUGUAUCCGCGGCAAGACGGAAAGACCCCGUGAACCUUUACUAUAGCUUUGCACUGGACUUUGAAGUUGUUUGUGUAGGAUAGGUGGGAGGCUUUGAAGCUGUGACGCUAGUUGCAGUGGAGCCAACCUUGAAAUACCACCCUGGCAACUUUGAGGUUCUAACUCUGGUCCGUUAUCCGGAUCGAGGACAGUGUAUGGUGGGUAGUUUGACUGGGGCGGUCUCCUCCUAAAGAGUAACGGAGGAGUACGAAGGUGCGCUCAGACCGGUCGGAAAUCGGUCGUAGAGUAUAAAGGCAAAAGCGCGCUUAACUGCGAGACCAACAAGUCGAGCAGGUACGAAAGUAGGUCUUAGUGAUCCGGUGGUUCUGUA
RNAcentral lists this ribosomal RNA (1457 nucleotides) under bioreactor metagenome. RNAcentral describes it as "bacterial LSU rRNA". It matches the Rfam family "Bacterial large subunit ribosomal RNA", at positions 992 to 2433 of the family's 2925-position model. The record is from RNAcentral.